Molecule: ribosomal RNA, 253 nt
Filed under: uncultured bacterium
Lineage: Bacteria
Description: partial 16S ribosomal RNA
Rfam family: Bacterial small subunit ribosomal RNA
Source: RNAcentral
UACAGAGGUCCCGAGCGUUGUUCGGAUUCACUGGGCGUAAAGGGUGCGUAGGUGGUGAGGUAAGUCGGAUGUGAAAUCUCCGGGCUCAACCCGGGAAUGGCAUUGGAAACUACCUUGCUGGAGGAUUUGAGGGGGGAUUGGAAUACUUGGUGUAGCAGUGAAAUGCGUAGAUAUCAAGUGGAACACCAGUGGCGAAGGCGAAUCCCUGGAAAAUACCUGACACUGAGGCACGAAAGCUAGGGGAGCAAACAGG